UAAUACGGGGGAUGCAAGCGUUAUCCGGAAUUAUUGGGCGUAAAGAGUCCGUAGGUUGUUAUCAAAGCCUAUUGUUAAAUAUCAAGGCUUCACCUUGAAUCUGCAGUAGGAACCUGAUAACUUGAGUGCGGUAGGAGUAGGGGGAAUUCCCGGUGUAGCGGUGAAAUGCGUAGAUAUCGGGAAGAACACCGGAGGCGAAAGCGCCCUACUAGGCCGACACUGACACUAAGGGACGAAAGCUAGGGGAGCAAACGGGAUUAGAUACCCCGGUAGUCCUAGCCGUAAACGAUGGGCACUACGUGUGGGGAAAACUUAGUUUUUUCUGUGCGAUAGCUAACGCGUUAAGUGCCCCGCCUGGGGAGUACGCUCGCAAGGGUG
This 378-nucleotide ribosomal RNA is filed under the name uncultured Chlorella. RNAcentral describes it as "bacterial SSU rRNA". It matches the Rfam family "Bacterial small subunit ribosomal RNA", at positions 521 to 896 of the family's 1533-position model. Lineage: Eukaryota; Viridiplantae; Chlorophyta; Trebouxiophyceae. The record is from RNAcentral.